Molecule: long non-coding RNA, 593 nt
Filed under: Mytilus galloprovincialis (Mediterranean mussel)
Lineage: Eukaryota; Metazoa; Mollusca; Bivalvia; Mytilida; Mytilidae
Source: RNAcentral
AACUCUCCUCUUUUUGAAUACAAAAUUCUAAGUUUCCAAAGGUUUUGUAUAGAAGAACUAUAGUACAAAUCCUUGGUAUUUCUAUUUUCUUUUCUACAUCAGUAAAAUGACCCCUUGUCUGAGGGAGAGUUGUUCUCAACCUGAUAAUAACAAACACAGGUCAAAGUACGGCCUUUUACCAUGUUUACACAGGGCUUUGAUACAGACCAAACAGCAAGCUAUAAAGGACCCCAAAAUUAUUAGUGUACACAAUUCGAACAGGAAAACAAACGAUCUAAUUUAUAUAUCCAAACGGGAAAAUACCAAUGAACAAUAUCAAUAAACGAUAACUGCCGAACGACAGGCCCCUGAAUCAAUCAGGACAGGUGCAUAAACAUGCAGCGGCUAUGAAUAGUUUUGUUUCGCCAGCAUACAAUAUAAUUGCAGUUGUAGGCAAAUCCUUCAGAAGUUCUCUGUACUUUAUUUUAACAACGAACAUUUUUUGAUAGGGAAUAUAAGUAAGGGGGAAAGAAACCAAUUUUUUGUUCUUUACAGGUAUUUCCACUGUUAUAAAUUUAUUUCGGAGCACUCCCUCUUUGGAUAAAUAGGUUUCA